CCUACGGGAGGCAGCAGUGAGGAAUAUUGGUCAAUGGACGAGAGUCUGAACCAGCCAAGUAGCGUGAAGGAUGACUGCCCUAUGGGUUGUAAACUUCUUUUAUAUGGGAAUAAAAUGUUCCACGUGUGGGAUUUUGUAUGUACCAUAUGAAUAAGGAUCGGCUAACUCCGUGCCAGCAGCCGCGGUAAUACGGAGGAUCCGAGCGUUAUCCGGAUUUAUUGGGUUUAAAGGGAGCGUAGGUGGGUUGUUAAGUCAGUUGUGAAAGUUUGGGGCUCAACCGUAAAAUUGCAGUUGAAACUGGCAGUCUUGAGUACAGUAGAGGUAGGCGGAAUACGUGGUGUAGCGGUGAAAUGCUUAGAUAUCACGAAGAACUCCGAUUGCGAAGGCAGUUCACUGGACUGCAACUGACACUGAGGCUCGAGAGUGUGGGUAUCAAACAGGAUUAGAUACCCGAGUAGUC
RNAcentral lists this ribosomal RNA (460 nucleotides) under uncultured bacterium. Its description in RNAcentral is "partial 16S ribosomal RNA". It matches the Rfam family "Bacterial small subunit ribosomal RNA", at positions 338 to 795 of the family's 1533-position model. The record is from RNAcentral.